Molecule: ribosomal RNA, 706 nt
Filed under: uncultured Providencia sp.
Lineage: Bacteria; Pseudomonadati; Pseudomonadota; Gammaproteobacteria; Enterobacterales; Morganellaceae
Description: bacterial SSU rRNA
Rfam family: Bacterial small subunit ribosomal RNA
Source: RNAcentral
UCACGCUGUAAACGAUGUCGAUUGGAGGUUGUUCCCUUGAGGAGUGGCUUCCGGAGCUAACGCGUUAAAUCGACCGCUGGGGAGUACGGCCGCAAGGUUAAAACUCAAAUGAAUUGACGGGGGCCCGCACAAGCGGUGGAGCAUGUGGUUUAAUUCGAUGCAACGCGAAGAACCUUACCUACUCUUGACAUCCAGAGAAUUUAGCAGAGAUGCUUUAGUGCCUUCGGGAACUCUGAGACAGGUGCUGCAUGGCUGUCGUCAGCUCGUGUUGUGAAAUGUUGGGUUAAGUCCCGCAACGAGCGCAACCCUUAUCCUUUGUUGCCAGCACGUUAUGGUGGGAACUCAAAGGAGACUGCCGGUGAUAAACCGGAGGAAGGUGGGGAUGACGUCAAGUCAUCAUGGCCCUUACGAGUAGGGCUACACACGUGCUACAAUGGCGUAUACAAAGAGAAGCGACCUCGCGAGAGCAAGCGGAACUCAUAAAGUACGUCGUAGUCCGGAUUGGAGUCUGCAACUCGACUCCAUGAAGUCGGAAUCGCUAGUAAUCGUAGAUCAGAAUGCUACGGUGAAUACGCUCCCGGGCCUUGUACACACCGCCCGUCACACCAUGGGAGUGGGUUGCAAAAGAAGUAGGUAGCUUAACCUUCGGGAGGGCGCUUACCACUUUGUGAUUCAUGACUGGGGUGAAGUCGUAACAAGGUAACCA